UAUAACCUCUGCCUCCCGGGUUCAAGCAAUUCUUCUGCUUCAGCGUCCCAAGUAGCUGGGAUUACAGGCCUUCAGUUGCAAAGUUCUCCAUUGUCAGAUUACGCUGCCUGAUGGGCAUGAAAAGUCCACAAAAGAGAAUUUUCUGAUGUGAGAAUGGAGGGUGUUGCCUGCAACUACCCCAGAUCCCUGCGGUGGCAGUUUAAGCCGCCUCCUGGAGCAGAUUGUUAAGCUGAUGCGAGUCUGGGCUCUGCCUCACCACUUGUCUCAGAGAAUGUCCAGUGCUAGGAGACUCAUAAGUUGGAGAGAAACGGCCUGAUUUAUAGAAACUGAGCGAGACUCCGGACCACCUGAUGCAGAGAAACCUGUGACCUGAAAAAGUCUAUUUGUGUUUCCUCUAGGAAUCUCGGCCAAGAAGACAGGGACAAGCUCCCAACUCUGACUACCCCUUUUACAGGGAAAAAAAAAAUCCCGUGCUUUCUUUGCAGCAAGUGACAAAUCCUUGUCAU
Molecule: long non-coding RNA, 506 nt
Filed under: Pan troglodytes (chimpanzee)
Lineage: Eukaryota; Metazoa; Chordata; Mammalia; Primates; Hominidae
Description: lincRNA
Source: RNAcentral